GUAGGGAAUAUUGGACAAUGGGCGCAAGCCUGAUCCAGCCAUGCCGCGUGCAGGAAGAAGGCCUUCUGGGUCGUAAACUGCUUUUCCCCGGGGAUAAAACACUCGUGCGCGAGGGCUUGAAGGUACCGGGGGAAUAAGCCACGGCUAACUACGUGCCAGCAGCCGCGGUAAUACGUAGGUGGCAAGCGUUGUCCGGAUUUAUUGGGUUUAAAGGGUGCGUAGGCGGCCCUGUAAGUCAGCGGUGAAAUACGGCAGCUCAACUGUCGAGGUGCCGUUGAUACUGCGGGGCUUGAGUACCGAUGAGGCAGGCGGAAUUGACGGUGUAGCGGUGAAAUGCUUAGAUAUCGUCAAGAACACCGAUAGCGAAGGCAGCCUGCCAAGGGGUAACUGACGCUGAGGCACGAAAGUGCGGGGAUCAAAC
This 421-nucleotide ribosomal RNA is filed under the name uncultured bacterium. Its description in RNAcentral is "bacterial SSU rRNA". It matches the Rfam family "Bacterial small subunit ribosomal RNA", at positions 354 to 773 of the family's 1533-position model. The record is from RNAcentral.